RNAcentral lists this ribosomal RNA (473 nucleotides) under uncultured bacterium. Its description in RNAcentral is "bacterial SSU rRNA". It matches the Rfam family "Bacterial small subunit ribosomal RNA", at positions 335 to 801 of the family's 1533-position model. The record is from RNAcentral.
ACUCCUACGGGAGGCAGCAGUAGGGAAUCUUCCACAAUGGGCGCAAGCCUGAUGGAGCAACACCGCGUGAGUGAAGAAGGGUUUCGGCUCGUAAAGCUCUGUUGUUAAAGAAGAACACGUAUGAGAGUAACUGCUCAUACGUUGACGGUAUUUAACCAGAAAGUCACGGCUAACUACGUGCCAGCAGCCGCGGUAAUACGUAGGUGGCAAGCGUUAUCCGGAUUUAUUGGGCGUAAAGAGAGUGCAGGCGGUUUUCUAAGUCUGAUGUGAAAGCCUUCGGCUUAACCGGAGAAGUGCAUCGGAAACUGGAUAACUUGAGUGCAGAAGAGGGUAGUGGAACUCCAUGUGUAGCGGUGGAAUGCGUAGAUAUAUGGAAGAACACCAGUGGCGAAGGCGGCUACCUGGUCUGCAACUGACGCUGAGACUCGAAAGCAUGGGUAGCGAACAGGAUUAGAUACCCUGGUAGGAUAGCG